RNAcentral lists this ribosomal RNA (301 nucleotides) under uncultured bacterium. Its description in RNAcentral is "partial 16S ribosomal RNA". It matches the Rfam family "Bacterial small subunit ribosomal RNA", at positions 509 to 807 of the family's 1533-position model. The record is from RNAcentral.
CAGUAGCCGCGGGAAUACAGAGGGUGCGAGCGUUAAUCGGAUUUACUGGGCGUAAAGCGUGCGUAGGCGGCUUCUUAAGUCGGAUGUGAAAUCCCUGAGCUUAACUUAGGAAUUGCAUUCGAUACUGGGAAGCUAGAGUAUGGGAGAGGAUGGUAGAAUUCCAGGUGUAGCGGUGAAAUGCGUAGAGAUCUGGAGGAAUACCGAUGGCGAAGGCAGCCAUCUGGCCUAAUACUGACGCUGAGGUACGAAAGCGUGGGGAGCAAACAGGAUUAGAUACCCGUGUAGUCCCUGUCUCUUAUAC